This 1238-nucleotide long non-coding RNA is filed under the name Scleropages formosus (Asian bonytongue). RNAcentral's name for it is "lncRNA (ENSSFOG00015029577.1)". The record is from RNAcentral. Lineage: Eukaryota; Metazoa; Chordata; Actinopteri; Osteoglossiformes; Osteoglossidae.
CGGGGACUCAGCAGAAUUCAACUCAAAGAUCAAACGAAACACCAACUGAGCGAGACAAGGCGGAGCGCGCGCGUUUCUGUGUGUAGUGUGUGUGUCUUUCCCGACCCCCUAGCUGCAUGUGUGACAGUGAGUGCGCAUCGGUCACUCGAAGGAACGUGCUGACACACGGUUAACAGACAGAGCGACCGCAAGCACGUCAACGACACUCACUGACGAGCCCAACAAUAGUAAAUAAUAUUAAUAACGACGGUGAUGGUGAACAUAAUUAUAUAUAAUAACAGGCGGUGCGGUGCGGGGCUCGUCCCCCUUCGGCUUCGCUUCGUACCCGCACGUACAAGAUCAUGAUCCAUUCGUUCCCGCGUUUUACCAGAGAGGCUGCCGCCGGCGGCUGCGCGCGCUCGAGGAGGCGCGUGCCGCGUGAGAACAGAAGCCCGGCUCAGUCCUACCUGUCCUGCCGCGCGCUCACUCCUCCGCCAUCCCCGUCCCUCCUCCCCGAGGAAACUUUUGCGUCCGCCGCCCGCGCGAGCUCCCGCGCUUCCUGUCAGCGCCGCUUAUUCUCCACAGGUGAAGCUCCGCUUCCUGCGAGCGUCUGCCGGCUUUAACGCAAAACGGUAAACAACGGAAGUAAAAGAGAUGCUGCUGAACGAAGCGACGAGCGAGCUCUCGCGCUGCUCUGACAGAGACGCGACCGCGGCACCAGGACCUCUCCUGUCCAUUGAGCCCCAAACCGAGAGUGUGAAUGAGCGCGAGCGGCGGCGGCGGCGCGCCGCCGAGCGCAGGCACGUCGGAAGCUACCAUUCGCGGCGAGGGAGAGCGCGUCUCCCCAGGGCGCGCGCGCGUGGGGCCAGUGAUGGAGAGAGACGGAGAAGGAAACGAAGAGCACGCGAGAACGACCCUUGCGCCCAUCCCUGAACAAACCCAAAGAUUCCCCACCGUACCCAUUCCCGGUUCCCCCUUUUCCUCCCCUUCCUUCCCCGUGAUCGAGGGUACUGUUGGUCUCUCUCAGAGCUCCAAUCAACAGACGAGAGAGCACGUACCUGAGGUCUCCGGUGUCGUCUGUCACGCUCCUCCUUUCCAAAAGUAAACUUCAGUCUGUUAGUACAAGUUAAUGUUUGUGUUUAGAGGAGAAUUUUGUUUCUAUUCUAAAAUAUAAAUUCAGUUGCAUCUUUGAGAAAUUCCUCAUUGCAUACGCUGGAUGGAUAAUAAGAGGUUCAAGCUGAAGUUUUUCUGGAGUCAGA